CCGCGGUAAUUCCAGCUCCAAUAGCGUAUACUAAAGUUGUUGCGAUUAAAAAGCUCGUAGUUGGAUCUUGGAAUGUGUUCAAGCGGGUCAGCUUCUGGCUGUGCGCUGCUUGACGUGUUCUUCUAUUUGGUUUUGGUGCGGUGCGCUUAACUGCGUGUCGCUCCCGGCCGAAACGUUUACCUUGAAAAAAUUAGAGUGUUCAAAGCAGACCUGUUUGAGUCUGAAUAUUCGUGCAUGGAAUAAUGAAAUAUGAAUUCGGUUCUAUUUUGUUGGUUUUCGGAACUCGAGUUAAUGAUCAAGAGGGACAGACGGGGGCAUUCGUACUCUGCCGUUAGAGGUGAAGUUCUUGGAUCGGCGGAAGACGCGCAACUGCGAAAGCAUUUGCCAAGAAUGUUUUCUUUAAUCAAGAACGAUAGUCGGAGGUUCGAAGACGAUCAGAUACCGUCCUAGUUUCGACUGUAAACUAUGCCAGCUAACGAUCAGACAGAGUUCUCUACGACUUGUCUGGCAGUUUCCGGGAAACCAAAGCGUUUGGGUUCCGGGGGAAGUAUGGUUGCAAAGCUGAAACUUAAAGGAAUUGACGGAAGGGCACCACCAGGAGUGGAGCCUGCGGCUUAAUUUGACUCAACACGGGGAAACUCACCCGGCCCGGACACAGUGAGGAUUGACAGAUUGAGAGUUCUUUCUUGAUUCUGUGGGUGGUGGUGCAUGGCCGUUCUUAGUUGGUGGAGCGAUUUGUCUGGUUAAUUCCGAUAACGAACGAGACUCUGGCAUGUUAAAUAGUCGCGGAAGUGCGUAUGCACUUGCCGAAUUGACUUCUUAGAGGGACUAGUGAUUUUAAUUCACACGAGAUUGAGCAAUAACAGGUCUGUGAUGC
Molecule: ribosomal RNA, 877 nt
Filed under: uncultured eukaryote
Lineage: Eukaryota
Description: SSU rRNA
Rfam family: Eukaryotic small subunit ribosomal RNA
Source: RNAcentral